UCAGUGCAGGCCUUCAUACGGUGAAACCGCGAAUGGCUCAUUAAAUCAGCUAUGGUUUAUUGGAUCGUACCCGUUAAAUGGAUAACUGUAAUAACUCUAGAGCUAAUACAUGCCUCGAUGCCCUGACUCUCCGGUUGCCGUCUCUGCCUAGGCGGUGGAUUGGAGAGGAAGGGUGCACUUAUUAGAUCAGAAGCCAACCUUACUUGGCCCGUGUGGUUGUAAANNAACGGCGGUUGCAGCUGUGGGCCAGGCAUGAUGACCUUCUGGUGACUCUGGAUAAUUGUUACAGAUCGCGGUCGGCCUUGAGUCGGCGACGGGUCCUUCAAAUGUCUGCCCUAUCAACUUUCGAUGGUAGGUGACCUGCCUACCAUGGUUAUAACGGGUAACGGGGAAUCAGGGUUCGAUUCCGGAGAGGGAGCCUGAGAAACAGCUACCACUUCCAAGGGAGGCAGCAGGCGCGCAAAUUACCCACUCCCGGCACGGAGGUGGU
This 490-nucleotide ribosomal RNA is filed under the name Tetrabothrius erostris. Its description in RNAcentral is "bacterial SSU rRNA". It matches the Rfam family "Eukaryotic small subunit ribosomal RNA", at positions 60 to 468 of the family's 1831-position model. Lineage: Eukaryota; Metazoa; Platyhelminthes; Cestoda; Tetrabothriidea; Tetrabothriidae. The record is from RNAcentral.